Homo sapiens (human) is the source of this 682-nucleotide long non-coding RNA. Lineage: Eukaryota; Metazoa; Chordata; Mammalia; Primates; Hominidae. The record is from Ensembl.
AGUCCAUCAGCUUUUGGGGGAGCUGAUGCAUCCUUCUGCUCCAGGCCUGCCUCUCAGACCUGCCCACUGUGAUUUUCAGGGACAACAGGCAACCAAAUCAGAGUUGGCAAGACACCACAGGGCUUCUGAGACCACUGGAAAAGAGACCAACUCCAUCAGAUGUUCCGGAGACUGAGGAAUCAAAGCCUUAGAAGACCAGGGUUAGGAAAUUAUACAGCAACAGGACUAACAGGAGAACAGGACACUCUCCAAACUCUCCCUCCAGUCUAAGAUGAUGCCAGCUCCAGGAAGUUGGGGAUUGUCUUCCUCACUCCUGUAUUCCCGGCUCCUAGAACAGUGACUGUCACCCAGCAGCUGUUGAGCUAAUGGCUAUUGAGUGGACAACCACUCGAGCAACAAUGCAGUCAGCUUCGUGGACUUUGUUUUACUGAGGGGCAUCUGGAGAGUUGGGACCAGAGGUGAAUUGCUCAAGAGAAGAGGGAAGCAGUGAGGACACAGCUGUCCUCCUCCAUCUAUCCCCAGGUCAGGCAGCCCCCUCCUCUAAGGCAGAGAAUAUUGUUUGAAAGGCACUUGUCUUCACUUAUUUUGUGCUGCUACAACAGGAUACCACAACCUGAGGAAUUUAUAAUGAACAGAAAUUUAUUGGCUUAUGGUUCUAGAGACUGGGAAGUCCAAGAUCAUG